Molecule: ribosomal RNA, 454 nt
Filed under: uncultured Leptolinea sp.
Lineage: Bacteria; Bacillati; Chloroflexota; Anaerolineae; Anaerolineales; Anaerolineaceae
Description: bacterial SSU rRNA
Rfam family: Bacterial small subunit ribosomal RNA
Source: RNAcentral
GGGCCCCGCACAAGCAGCGGAGCGUGUGGUUUAAUUCGAUGCUACACGAAGAACCUUUACCAGGGUUUGACAUGCUAGUGGUAGGAAACCGAAAGGUGACCGACCCUUCGGGGAGCUAGCACAGGUGCUGCAUGGCUGUCGUCAGCUCGUGUCGUGAGAUGUUCGGUUAAGUCCGCUAACGAGCGCAACCCUCGCUGUGUGUUAUAUGUGUCACAUGGGACUGCCGGCCUUAAGCCGGAGGAAGGUGGGGAUGAUGUCAAGUCAGCAUGGCCUUUAUGUCCUGGGCUACACACACGCUACAAUGGUCAGCACAAUGGGUCGCUAAGCCGCAAGGUGGAGCCAAUCCUCAAAGUUGGCCUCAGUUCAGAUUGUAGGCUGCAACUCGCCUGCAUGAAGAUGGAGUUGCUAGUAAACGCAGGUCAGCUAUACUGCGUUGAAUACGUUCCCGGGGCUU